AAAUCGGUCCUUUUCAGGACCACUAAAGUUAUUAAUCAAAAGAGAA
This is a non-coding RNA of Drosophila willistoni, 46 nucleotides long. The record is from Rfam. NCBI's taxonomy places the organism in Eukaryota, Metazoa, Arthropoda, Insecta, Diptera, Drosophilidae.